UUCGCAAUGCCCGAAAGGGUGACGAAGCGACGCCGCGUGUGGGAAGAAGGCUCUAGGGUUGUAAACCACUGUCAGGAGUUAAGAAAUAUAGAGACGUUAAUAGCGUUCUUGCUUGACUAAGGCUCCAGAGGAAGCCACGGCUAACUCUGUGCCAGCAGCCGCGGUAAUACAGAGGCGGCAAGCGCUGUUCGGAAUUAUUGGGCGUAAAGAGCACGUAGGUGGGUUUGCAAGUCAGAUGUGAAAGCCUCCUGUUCAACGGGAGAAUUGCAUCUGAAACUGCAGAUCUUGAGUGUAGGAGGGGAGAAUGGAACUUCUGGUGGAGCGGUGAAAUGCGUAGAUAUCAGAAGGAACGUCGGCGGCGAAAGCGACUCUCUGGCCUAUUACUGACACUGAGGUGCGAAAGUUAGGGGAGCAAACGGGAUUAGAUACCCCGGUAGUCCUAACCGUAAACGAUGGGCACUAAGUAGAGGGGUUUU
RNAcentral lists this ribosomal RNA (476 nucleotides) under uncultured anaerobic ammonium-oxidizing bacterium. RNAcentral's name for it is "bacterial SSU rRNA". It matches the Rfam family "Bacterial small subunit ribosomal RNA", at positions 365 to 832 of the family's 1533-position model. The record is from RNAcentral.